UUUCACCAGUGAGGAAUGGAGGGCAGCGCCGGACGUCUCUCCAACCACAGCUCGCUGGUCUGAAAGACACGUCAAUCUGCUUCCUCUGUUCCAGAUGCAGGCCUGUGGACAGAAAUACGACAAUUAAAAGCAGUCGAUUGAACGAGUUGACUUUAAAACUCAAAGUCAGUCGGCCAUGACGGGCUCGUUUUGAGGGUUUGCACCUGCAGACAGAAAGUAGAAAAUUAACACGAAUGCAUCGAAAUACCCGUUUCAGUCAUUCUCUGGUGGAUUUAUGCCAACGCUGCUUUGGCUCCUUACCUUCGGCCAAACGACGCUGUCGUCCAGACGUUGCUAAAUGUUUGUGCAAAAAUUGUGUUAGUCAUCCUUCCAGACGGUGCGUGCUUCAGUUUUCAAAAUGUACAUGUACUUACCCACCGUUAAAUGCUUCAAUUGUUUGGUUGCACGCCAGAUAAAUGCGUUUUGGUGGU
Long non-coding RNA from Syngnathus acus (greater pipefish), 470 nucleotides. RefSeq lists it as uncharacterized. Lineage: Eukaryota; Metazoa; Chordata; Actinopteri; Syngnathiformes; Syngnathidae. The transcript is spliced from 2 exons. The record is from RefSeq and is a predicted model, not a curated record.